GCGUUCAACUUGGCUAGAACCGAACCAGACAUUAACCAGCUGGAGUGAGACUUUGACAAUGGACAAGGAGCGUCCAAGAGCUUGAACUUGGGGAGAAUGAGAACCUUUAGCUGUACUUUUAGUGUUUUAAAAGCCAAGAAUCCAGCAGGUGCUCAGGUGUUGAGGGGCUCGUCGUCACAAUAUGAAUCCAACCAGACGAUGGGUAGCUUGUGAGAACAACCAUCUCAGCUCCAACCCUUUUCCUGAGGAAGCAGAAAGCUGGUGCUCAUGUCCUGAGCCGGCAGCGGACCCUUCAGGGCGACGGCACUCCAGCUCCUCCGCAUUCCGGAGUCGGGAAGGCUUUACUCGUUCCUCCUCCACAGGUCAGCCGACUGUUUGAAGAGCUCUAAUCAGAUCUACGUGCUGGGCCUGUCGAGGGCAGGGCUGGAUUUGCAUUGUUUUCUGAAACAAUAGCUGCCUUUACGGGAGCAGAGUGAGGUGCAAGGUGCUGCUUCCGCACCCUGCAAACGAGGAGCUGCGAAGUGAGUAAGGUUCAUCUGAGAGUCAUUUUCAGAACAACAGCAGAGCAGAUUUGUCUUCCAAAAGGACACAUUCUCCUCUAAGCACUUUGUCACAUUACAGCUAGUGCUGGAGCAAUUAAUUGGAUUAAUUGGUUUACAGAAAUUAUUGACAACUACUGUAGUUGGCGAUUAAUCGUUGAAGCUGGGGUAUGUAACUUUUCUAGAAAAUGUGUUUUCACUGUUUUGCGACAGUAUGGAAUGAGACGGAUGAUCCGUGGAAAAAUGUAGUUCUCCUGUCUUCUCCCAUUGCUAAAUAGAAACAACCAAUCAGAGUCAGGAUGCAGGUUUUGGCGCUGUCUAUCACAAACUCUUGUGGCGCUGCUAACAUACGCUUUUAUUUUUGAUUUCAGGCAUUUUAGAUUGAUUUGAGGUUCAUUGCAGAAAAUGAAUCAUGCUUUAAAGAUUUUUGCUCUCGG
Xiphophorus couchianus (Monterrey platyfish) is the source of this 976-nucleotide long non-coding RNA. RefSeq lists it as uncharacterized. The transcript is spliced from 3 exons. The record is from RefSeq and is a predicted model, not a curated record. Lineage: Eukaryota; Metazoa; Chordata; Actinopteri; Cyprinodontiformes; Poeciliidae.